GGCUCAGAUUGAACGCUAGCGGGAUGCCUUACACAUGCAAGUCGAACGGCAGCACGGACUUCGGUCUGGUGGCGAGUGGCGAACGGGUGAGUAAUGUAUCGGAACGUGCCUAGUAGCGGGGGAUAACUACGCGAAAGCGUAGCUAAUACCGCAUACGCCCUACGGGGGAAAGCAGGGGAUCGCAAGACCUUGCACUAUUAGAGCGGCCGAUAUCGGAUUAGCUAGUUGGUGGGGUAACGGCUCACCAAGGCGACGAUCCGUAGCUGGUUUGAGAGGACGACCAGCCACACUGGGACUGAGACACGGCCCAGACUCCUACGGGAGGCAGCAGUGGGGAAUUUUGGACAAUGGGGGAAACCCUGAUCCAGCCAUCCCGCGUGUGCGAUGAAGGCCUUCGGGUUGUAAAGCACUUUUGGCAGGAAAGAAACGUCAUGGGUUAAUACCCCGUGAAACUGACGGUACCUGCAGAAUAAGCACCGGCUAACUACGUGCCAGCAGCCGCGGUAAUACGUAGGGUGCAAGCGUUAAUCGGAAUUACUGGGCGUAAAGCGUGCGCAGGCGGUUCGGAAAGAAAGAUGUGAAAUCCCAGAGCUUAACUUUGGAACUGCAUUUUUAACUACCGAGCUAGAGUGUGUCAGAGGGAGGUGGAAUUCCGCGUGUAGCAGUGAAAUGCGUAGAUAUGCGGAGGAACACCGAUGGCGAAGG
RNAcentral lists this ribosomal RNA (705 nucleotides) under Achromobacter sp. 110602_136_C_B6. Its description in RNAcentral is "bacterial SSU rRNA". It matches the Rfam family "Bacterial small subunit ribosomal RNA", at positions 21 to 721 of the family's 1533-position model. Lineage: Bacteria; Pseudomonadati; Pseudomonadota; Betaproteobacteria; Burkholderiales; Alcaligenaceae. The record is from RNAcentral.